AAUAAUGGUUUCGGAAACCCAUAUAAUGUCCAAACAUUGAAUCACCAUUUAGUUGUAGCUAGCAAACUUCGAAUUAAUUGAAACUAAGACUACGUCAAAGAUGGUUUCUUCAAAGUCAACCAUUCUCUUUGAUUGUAGUCACCUUAAGCUACCAAUUAGCUAUAAAGGUUUCAUUAUUUCGGGUCAAAUGGUACUUUACCAUUUCCUUGAGUAUAUGUUGUAUAUACACUCAAUGUAGUCAUAAGGAUUUUCAUUCUUAUUUCUUUCGAAUUAAAAGGUGUAACUCUAUGACAUAGUCAUAAAGUUCAAACCAUUCAACUGAGACGGUUUAUAAAUCCUUCUCGACUACCUUGGAGCUUGUGGUAUAGGAACUAGGUUGUUAUAUUUGUUGAUUAUCAUCUUGUCUCUCAAAGAACCCAUUCUUUGAGUUCUAUCUCUUCGUUCAUUUCGCGCUAUCUUAGGCAAAUCACUAUUGUAGGAUUACAAUGAACUACCCAACAAACAACAUUUGUUAGUUGGUUUAUAGAAGUGAUAUCCAAAUGUUAAUUUAAGGAUACCCACAAGAUAAUUUUUAAACAAAUAUUGCUUAUUAGCACACAACCCCAAAUCUUAACAUGAUUAAGAUUUGUCUUUCUUUCCAACUACAUCCUAUGGAGUCAUGAAAAUUUUGGAAGAUCUUCUAAUUGACAAUCAUAUUGUCUUAGAAGUAUAUAUCCUAUAUAUGGGUAAUUGAUAAUAUCCAACGAACUAAAUCUUAUUCAAGUUCGUUCUUCUCCUAAUGGAGAAAUCCAUUAUCUUAUGAUGCUUCUUUCCUUGAUAUCUUUCAAGGAAAACUGUUCUAAAGUGUUACCUUUCCUUGGAUCAAAUCUAAGGAGGUAAAUACUUUAGACAUCUUACUCAUCAACUUACAUUUCUUGAAUUCUUUGAAACCUUUUGCAAAGUAUUCGGACUUGUGUUUAUUCAAAAUAAACUAUAGUCCAACCGAGAGUGAUCUUCGGUGAAUGUCAUACAACAUGAGUAGUAUUAUGUUUGUGGACAAGUGCCACUAACAUCUAAGUGAAUUAACCUCAACAACUUUGUGAUUCUUUCUUCCUUUCCAAAAGAAUAAAGAUUCGAACAUUUCGCCUCUAUACAAUUUUAAUAAGAAGGUAUUGGAUCCGGAUCUAACGAUCCAAAGCAUCCAUCUAUGACCAACUCGUAAUUUAUGUUUUAGAGGUAUCACAACUUCAGUUGGGAUUAGUCACUACCUUGCAACCUUUUGGGUUUUAAGCAUCAUUAUUUUCUAAACAGUUAACACUACCAUAUCAUCUCUACUAUAGAGAGACAAUCAAUUAGAUUACAAUAAUCUAAUCAUUCAUUAAUAAAGAACAAUGUUUUGUCAAACAAAACAUUCAUCCAUCCCUUAUAGUGAUGGAAUUAAGUUCCUUAAAAUUGGAAUGUAAAGACAAUCUUUGGUUUUUCCAAUUUCUUUGGUAGUUCAUAUGAGGAAGUAAGUACCAUCUGUUUUCGCAGAGAUCUACAUUUGAUUCACGUUCCGAAUGUGAACUACUUUCUCUUCUCUCAUUAAUCUUCUACUUCUUAUUAGCCACAUUUUACAACGAUUGUAAAACCUAGUUACUAAUACUGAAUCAUGCAUUCAAGUAGAAGAACCAAUUCUUUUGAACUUUUCAAGAACAAUUUACAACACCUUUGAAAGGUGUGUUCUUGACACUUGCAAGACAUUUCUUGCAAAUACCCCUUCCAAUGUCCAUCCUUUCAUAAAGAAAGUUUGUUCCCUUGGAGUUUAUUUCGCUUUCUUCAUUUGACUUCUCCUUUGACUACAAUAGUCAUGGUCCCUAAACUCCCACUAUCUCUCUUGAAACUUAUUUCAAUUGUGUUAUACACAUCAAACGAUUUUGGAGAGUGUGUGGUUAUUGUUCACUAUAUAUAGUUUACAAUAAACUUAGUGAACCAUUUGGAUAGGGACACAAAGGUGAAGUCCUUGCCUAGUUUCCGUUUCUAGAAGUGGUUUAACACUUCAACACUCAAUGAUUCAAAAUCAUCAUAAGUCCAUGUUGAUGGACUAUUUUUGUCAACCAACCAUUAUGUUCUAAACAUAAUUACAAACUUUCAAGAGUUGUUCAAGGCAACUCUCAUUUCUUCAUACAACAAUUUGUAAGUGAAGAAUCAUGGCACAUAAAGUGUCCAUGCCCUUGUGCUUUCUUCUCAAGUUCUUUGUUCAUUUAACAAAGAAACAAGCACUAGUGUUUGCAUUAGCUAAAGGUUGUUCAAAGCAACUCUCUUAUUUCUUCAUACAACGAUUUGUAAGUGAAGAACUAUGACAUUAAAAGUGUUGUCCUCUUUAUGAUAGACUUAUCUAACAUGUUCUUCCAAUGAUACAUUAUCAAUAGGAAGAUUGUGAGGAUGAGACUACUUAGGUACAUAUACAAUCCAUUUAAGACAAUCUUUGGGAUUGUGGUACCAAGUCCGGAAACUAAAGUAUUCGGCUUUUCUUAGUCAAGAUUUGGAUAGCGUUUGCAAAUAUAUUGGUAAACAAAUACAUAAUGAAUAUAAAUUGAUUGAUUUGAAGCCAUUUGAUUCAGGUCUUUAAAUCAAAUAGCACCACCCACUAUUUUUGGCAAAUUCCAUAUCCCUCAUCGGAAUUCGAGAGUUUUGGAGGAAACUCUUAGCAGGGUAUGGGAGACUCAUAAUUACCAAGCCCACCUCAGAAUUAUAUCAUUUUGGCUAGCAACAAUAAUGAUGAGAGGAUAACUCUUAGCCAUUUACAACUUUUGUAAUUACCCAUCUGCUUUGGCCUCUAGAGAAUGAUUGCUUCAUAAUUAUAUCAUUUUGGCACCAUUGCACUUAGUUAAGUCAUUCCCACCAUGCUAGUUGAUGUAGGGGUUCAAGCACAACCUCAGAAUUAUAUCUUGUUGCUCAUACUCGUUGUCUACACUCACUUCAUCAUAUAUGUUUAUGGACUCUUCCUGGAUGUAAGCACAUACUUUGAACUUCCCCAUUAUAGGGUGAAACCGGUGUAUGAGUCACAAACGAUUGGAGCCCACCACGGUGGAAGGCCAUGAAAGAGUGUUCAAAGCACUCUCACGCUUAUUAACUUAAUAAUGGUUUGGUUGAGGGUUUUUGGUCUCAUCACAUAUAAAUAUACAUUUUAAUCUUAUUAAAACAAUUUGGUCCUAUUACAACUAUUGGUCCAUGUGAUUGACUUAGUAGUAUAUAAUACUCCCACUAAGCUUGUAAAACGGUUUUUAAAGCAAGAGUAUAUCGUACUACUAACAUAAGGUUUGCAUUCAUUGACGGACUAUAUAGUUGCCUUAGAGCCUUAGGAUGACUAUGAACCUUUGAUUAGAUCCAACAUGAGCCUAGUGUUGAAUCUCGGUCUAGGGAUGGUGAUUGAUUUUAGUUACGCGUUUAAUCAUAUUAAGGCGUGUUUUCCUAUUGGGCGUUGGACCCAACUACUCCAAUUUCAUGCAUAUCAAAUAAAACAAGAAAAUGAGUACUUCAAAGUAAAGAAGAGCUUAUGCUCUUUUACAACAUUUGAUCAAAACAAAUUACUUUAAAGUAAAGAAGAGCUUAUGCUCUUUUACAACAUUUGAUCAUAUCAAAUUACAACCAAAAUCUAAUCUACACAUUCCCAUGGUUCAAACAAAUUUGAGACGGCCUUUCACAUAGCUCAAUUAUCGUAGGCUUAGGUUCAUAAUCACCCUUUAAUUAAUUAACGCUUUAACUAAUUAAACUUUGAAUGCAACAUUGUCAUUUGGUUUUUGUAUCCAUAAAAUUGAUUUAAAUGGAGCUAAAUGAAAUGAAAAUCCAAUUCUCAUUUAAAGAGACAAAACCAUUUUGUUCUCAACCUAAUUUGGGCCAAAAUGCAAUAACCUCAACUUUUUGGGCUAUGUUGCAAAACUUAAACUUUUGAGCUCAUUUUGUAAAAACACAAAAGUCCAUUACUUCAUGUAAUUACAAUUAGAACCCAAAAAUUUCAUCAAAUUCAAAAACUUCAUUAAAUGAACAAAACAAUUUGUCCUUUAAUGAUUUUAGGCCUUUACGUAAAUACGUAAACUUUUGGGUCAAACUACAAAUACACAAAAGUAUUAAAACUUUAUGUAAUUGCAUAAAAGCCCCAAAAACACUCCACUUGUAGGGUGGCCGGUUUUGGUGAGAGUGAAGCCUCAAAAUUAUGAAAUUUUUCAACAAAGUCAUAAAGCCUUGCAAGUGGAAAUUGGUUGGUGGGAACAUGUGUGUAAGAAGAAAAUCAAUUAUGUACAUAAUUCAAACACUCUUAUCAACAAUUCAAUCACCUUUUAAUUGAUUAAAUGACUUGUUGAUAGAUAAGUCACACCAACCAAUACAAAACAAAGGCUUUAUGAAAUUAACUAAAACUUUGAAUCAAAACAACAAACCUUUUUGUUCUUGGUAAGAACCUCAAGAACAAUGAAGAACACCCAUGAACACCCAUAAGAGUUCCAUGAACAUUUUCACUCAAUAAAACUCAAAUUUUCACUACUCAAAAUGGGGUUAACAUCCUAGGGUACUUAGGGGUUCCAAAAGUCACCUUAAAACACUUUUAAUAAGACAAACAUGAACCCAAAAAUCACCCUUUGGAUUUGGCCGAAAAUCCCCAAAAACAUGGCACCAAUUUUUAGCUCCAAAAUUCAUGCUCAUAUGAACUACAUCUACAACAUUUGAGAUGGAGAAUUUUCUAACAAAAUUUACGUUCAAAGAAGCAAGAAUAAAGCUUGUAACAAUUACAACAUUCCAAUCAAAGACUAUGAACUACAAAACCCAAAAGAAUUCACCAACUACUAGACCUAGGCUCUGAUACCACUUGAAGGGAAUUUUGUUAAAAGCAUGUUCAUUUGAGCAACAUCUAUAGCAUGCAAUUAACUAAUUAAAGGCGGAAUCAUGCUUGCAUGCACUCAAAACAAAACAUAACCCAUUAAAUUCAAAGCCUAGUAGUUAGGUGAACCAAGACUCAACUCAAAACAAAGUGAGUUGAGAAAUUAUACCUUUGUUGAUUCAUCUUUGCAUAAGCAAAGGAUAAUCACCCAAGAGAUAGGGCCUUCAUUCCUUGCUUCUUAGCUCCAUGGAUUUGGAUGGAAGAAUUGGUUUCUCCAAGUUCUCAAAGUUGAGAACCUCUAAGUCUCCACACCAAGGAAAGAUUGAUAAAGAAAUGAGUGACCUAGAGGAAGUAAGAUUGCUAGCUAUGCUCCUCUAGGGUGGGCGGCCUCUUAGAGAGAAAAGAGAGUUUGCGUUCUCAUCUUUUCUCCAAAAGAAACCCUAAAUGAAUUUUGGCUAUAAAGUCAUAUUUAUACCUACAUUCAUUGGAGUGGCAAACUUGUAAUUAAGUCCAAAACCCACUCCUUUAUCAAUAUGGCCGGCCAUAGGGUUUCAUUGGGCUUUUUAGGCCUUUGUGAAUUAUUUGUCAUUAAGUUGUCAUACAACUUAAGUCAAUGGGCUUGACGUUCCAAGCCCAUUGGGCUUUGAGGCCCAAAACUAACUCGUGGUCUUUUAACAAACUUUAUUCGUUUGAUUAAUUAACAUAUUAAUUAAUCCUUGCCAUAAAUAAAUAAUUAAACCAUUUAAUUAUCCUUACUCAUCUCCGGUGUUUCUUCAAUCUCUACCUUACAUGGUGUACGAUCCAUUAGGUUCCUUUUAGCGAGGCAGUGGGCGAUUAGAACUCUUUCAAAUCGAUUGUGAAUUGAAACUUACUUUCAAUUCUCCCUUUAGUGAUUAUACACGUUUAGGGCUUCCACAAACCAUGAGUGACACCUAGCAGUAUGUCAUGGUUACCCAAGCUAAUCAGAAGAGGUGGAGAACCUAUUCAGUUUAGGAUUACAAUGCAAUACGGUCUUUCUCUAAUACAAUACUCUUGAUCACAUUGUUUGGAUUGAUAGUUUAUUCAUGUGUACUAUCCAAUGUGAUUCAUUUACUUAUAUGAUUACCUUGAAUGUGAUUUGGAAUGACUUCCUAAAUCUCAUUCAUACUCUGGCCAGAGAUUCUUAAUCAUAUCAUAGAGUAUUCUCCCUCAAACGGUUUGAAGGUUAGAGAUCCCUUGUUGCGCAUUCACUUGCCUCCAUGGCUAAGUGGCUUAACCCCAACUAUGCCGUGGACACCCGCGAAGGGAGUGACUUUGACAUAAUCAAAGAUCAAGGACCUAACCACAAGACAACUAUGAUGCCUCAGGUCAAAGGACUACUUUUCAUUAUCCCAACCAUGAGUUCUCAUGUGACAUGAGUAUGAGAACUCUUCGUUGAUCGUCUUCAGUGGACUCAUUCACUAUUGAGCACCUACAUGCCUGUCUUGGUGUCAAUUACACCAAUGACUCGAGACCAGUCACUCUCCAUGAAAGAAGACAGCACGUACUGAUCUUAACAGACUGUCAAUGCCCAAUUGGUAAUCCUAUGAUCAGGAACGUUUAGGAUAUGUAUACGAAAGAGAAUGGUCUCAUAAAUCUAACUUGUUUAAAUUACAUUCUCCUAAUUACAUAUUCUUUGGACUUAUCGUUUAAGCAUAUAACAUUUAUAUGAAACGGCUUAAAACAAUAAUCUUUGCCCUUGAUAUUAAGCUAGAUUAGUUUAACAUGUGAAAUGUCCGCAAAGUAUCAUCACAUGAUUGGUUUUAGGGCACAUUUCCAACAGGUUCAUCAUUCCAUUGCUUCGUACUUGUCAACUCCAGCAUGCUUGCAGUGCGGCGGGUGCUGCAGAGGCGGUUAAGGAAUUCCUUUCCAAGCUGAUCCCAGCUGUUGAUAGACUCCGGCUCGAGGUGGGUGUACCAAUCAAAGACGUUACCUUUUAGCGAGCACACGAACUUCUUGACAAGGUAGCCUCCCUGCAUUCUAGCAUUGUUGCAGGUUUCAAUGAAAUGGGCAAUGUGUUGUUUAGGAUUGCUCUUUCCAUCAAAUUGCAUGAAUAUGGGCAGCUGAUAACUCCUUAGCAAGGUUUUGAGUACAACACAGACUCAUGCGGGCUUCCUUGGUAUUAUGCCUUGAUCGUGCUUUUGAUCAUCUCUUGCAGCUGUUGGAUAGAAAGAGAUCUCAUAGCAUCGCAGAUCGAUCCACCUCCAGCUUCUCUUCGGCUUGCUCUCCUAGAGGCUCCUCUUCUUCAUCGGUUUCCUUCUUUUGUAGGUCAACCUUUAGGUCGUGGUCAGCUUUUUCAUCAUGUUGCGCCUCUAGUAGGUUGAUGAAUGUGGCAAUUUGCAAGUCAUUUUCCUCAACAGUCCUUGUUAGGCUUGCAAUUGCUUCAUUCAUUUGAGCCAGCUACUCUUCGAUGGAAGUUGCACCAGUAGUCAUGACUUGUAUGGCUACGAGAUACGAGCUGCUGCUUGAGUCGGCAUUAGAAGUCAAUGACUUGGAGUACCUCCUUGGGCUUUCAUCCCUUGGCACCCUUAGAAAGGCCAAGGUGAUCACGAGCUCUGCCUAGAGUGCUCUUGCUCAUUCGGUAAAGUUGAUGUAGGGGUGGAAGGCACGGCAGAAAGAGCGCUUACCUUGCUUCAGGUUGUGACGCCCAAAGUGCCACCACAUAUGGCAAGGAAAUUCUUGUUCUACGUGUUGGUUGUGGGAACAACUUGAUCUUUUCUUGAUGCCAUGUAUGUUUCUUGUGGAUUUGAAGACAGAGAUGAGAGGCAGAGAGGUCCGACUACGCAUGCCAAAUUUGUAAACACGAAAAUUUUGAAUCAAAUGAAACGAGAACACGUGUACAAAAUAGAUUUGUAUUGAUUGAAUUUGUAGGGUUACAAUCUCUGUUUACAAUUUUCCUCUUAUUCAGUCUUCAAAUUUGAUGAAGAUGGCGUAGGUUGUUGAUCCAAGGGUAGCGAUGACUUGAUUUCGGACGAACGAUUGAGCGAUUACUUCAAGUUUUGAUCUUGAAACGUUGCGUCGAUAGUCUUCACCUCAAAGUUGCGGCAAAGGUAGUGUUGGUGUAGAAUUUCGUUGACUCAAGGUCUUGGCGAAUUGAUCUUGAAACAAAUGUCUUUACAAGUUUUGAGCUUGCAACAAAGUCUUGAAUGAGUCAGCACGAGUGCUUGCUGAUUCUUCAAAGGGAAUGUUGAUAGGAGCAUAUUUAUGCGACUUUGUUAGCUUGUUUCUUUGCAUUUAGUGAGUUAGUUUCUAUUUAUAAGAGUGUUUUAAGCUAUUUUCGUACGUUUGUAGUUCCAAUUGGCAAAUGUGACAAGAAAUGGCAAUUUGGAGCAUUUUGGAGCAGUUUUGGACUUGGAAUGGAUAGCAUAUGCAUAGAACAAGUUGGAUGGAUGUUUUUGAAGUUUAAAAGAGGAUAGGAAUGUGCUACAAAUCUGGAGAAAUUAAAUCAAGGCUUGGAAAACAAGGAAUCAGCUGAAAACAAGGAAACCUUAUCCAAACUUACCUUAUCUUAUCCAGUCCUGUUUUAUCUCAAUCUUAUCUUAUCUUAUCAUAUCCUUAUCCUAUCUCACCUUAUCUCCAGCUAUAAGGGGGGUUCCUUAUCACAUUCAACCACUUUUAAUCUGAUUUAAGUAGUCCUAAAACAUUGCAAACAACUCAAUCCUUUUCCACCACAAAGUAGGUCGUGCCUUAGCCCUAUAAAUACAAGUUAUUGCCACAGCUUUCAAGGAGAGCUUUUAGAAAGAAAAUUGGUGAGAGUGCUGCAGGUUUCUAGAUGAGAGAAGGAGAUUUGGGCCGUGCUUACAAGGAGAAGAAGAGCCAAUUCUGCCAUCUAAAGGAGGAGCCAAAUCUGCCAUUGCUGGAGUGUCUUAGAGUUCUUUCUAUCCUUAUUUGAUCUCAAUGUUUAAUUUAGAUUGUUUUUAUUUAAUUAUGAUGAACAUGUGGAACUAAUUUCGUUUUAGCUAAAGGUCAAUUUGAAGCCAUGCAGGGAUUUGAUGCUAGAAUAUAAAGGAAUUUCACCUAAUCGUUAUAAACUUAUAUUUACAAGUAGUAAAAGUCACUAGUCAUGAUUGAGUUAAGUAAAUUCAUGGCAGGAGUAUCGUAUAGUUCAUAGUUACGAAUGUCAUGUCAAUGCUUAUGAUUUUCACAGAACUUAAUGAUCUUUGAUAUCUAUCUCUAUCAUGCUGUUCAUAGUUAGGGAACCUGAAAAGAAUAAUUUGGUUGCGUCGCUGAGUCCAAUUCAACGAAUUUAGGAAAAUCUGAAAGUUAAUUUGCGCUUUUCAUGAUUAAUUUGGGGCAUUGUCAUUCAUGGUUUAUAGGAAUAAUAAUUGAAAAUCGAUUUGUAUACGUCAUGUGUGGAGAAUGACCCUCUAGCUAGCCUUUCACCCAAUUUUCGUACCAAACUUAAAUUUUUUUUUCAAUUUACUUGUUUUAAGUUAGAAUUCGUCCAAAUACCUCCCCCCUUAUGUUUAGUGUUGGUUUAGCUUAGUUUUCUAUUUUUAAGUCUAAUUAGUGUUGAUUAGCAUCCCUCCUAAUCCCCGAUCUAGAACGAUCCCUACUUGCUCAUACUACAACUGUCUUGAUAGGGUUUAAUUUGUGUGUUAGUUUCUACCACAUCAAAUUUUGGCAUCGUUGCCGGGGAUUAGUAAAAUUGAUGAUCCCUUUGUUUUUUGUUUAUUUUUCUUUUGAUAUUUGAUUUAGGUUUAUUUUUUUGAUUUCAGGUACUAGAGUAGCAAGACAUGGCAAUUGCUAAUCUUCAAGCUCAAAUGGCAAAUCUUACUUCUCUUAUGUCGCAAUAUAUCAAAAGGUCCACAAUUCAAAGUGUCCCUACAUUUGGUGUGUCUUUUAUGAAGGGAAUUUUGUGAAAAACAUGUUCAUUUGAGCAACAUCUAUAGCAUGCAAUUAACAAAUUAAAGGCGGAAUCAUGCUUGCAUGCACUCAAAACAAAACAUUACCCAUUAAAUUCAAAGCCUAGUAGUUAGGUGAACCAAGACUCAACUCAAAACAAAGUGAGUUGAGAAAUUAUACCUUUGUUGAUUCCUUUUUGCAUAAGCAAAGCAUAAUCACCCAAGAGAUAGGGCCUUCAUUCCUUGCUUCUUAGCUCCAUGGAUUUGGAUGGAAGAAUUGGUUUCUGCAAGUUCUCAAAAUUGAGAACCUCUAAGUCUCCACACCAAGGAAAGAUUGAUGAAGAAAUGAGUGACCUAGAGGAAGUAAGAUUGCUAGCUAUGUUCCUCUAGGGUGACUGGCCUCUUAGAGAGAAAAGAGAGUCUGUGUUCUCAUCAUUUCUCCAAAAGAAACCCUAAUGAAGAAAAGGUUAUAAAGUCAUAUUUAUACGUACCUUCAUUGGAGUGGCAAACUUGUAAUAAGUCCAAAACCCACUCCUUUAUCAAUAUGGCCGGCCAUAGGGUGUUAUUGGGCUAUUUGGGUCAUUGUGAACAUUUAGUCAUUAAGUUGUCAUACAACUUAAGUCAAUGGGCUUGACGUUCGAAGCCCAUUGGACCAUGAGGCCCAAAACUAACCCGAGGUCUUUAACGAACUUUAUUCAUUUGAUUAAUUAACAUAUUAAUUCAUUCUUGCCAUAAAUAAUUAAACCAUUCAAUUAUCCUUACUCAUCUCCGUUGUUUCUUCAAUCUCUGCCUUACACAGUGUACGAUCCAUUAGGUUCCUUUUAGCGAGGCAGUGGGCGAUUAGAACUCUUUCAAAUCGAUUGUAAAUUGAAACUUACUUUCAAUUCUCCCUUUAGUGAUUUAUACACAUUUAGGGCUUCCACAAACCAUGAGUGACACCUAGCAGUAUGUCAUGGUUACCCAAGCUAAUCAGAAGAGGUGGAGAACCUAUUCAGUUUAGGAUUACAAUGCAAUACGAUCUUUCUCUAAUACAAUAUUCUUGAUCACAAUGUUUGGAUUGAUAGUUUAUUCAUGUCUACUAUCCAAUGUGAUUCAUUUACUUAUAUGAUUACCUUGAAUGUGAUUUGGAAUGACUUCCUAAAUCUCAUUCAUACUCUGGCCAGAGAUUCUUAAUCAUAUCAUAGAGUAUUCUCCCCUAAACGGUUUGAAGGUUAGAGAUCCCUUGUUACGCAUUCACUUGCCUCUGAUAGAGUGAGUUUGACACAGUCAAACAUGAAGGACUUAACCACAAGACAACUAUGAUGCCUCAAGUCAAAGGACUACUUUGCAUUUUCCCAACCAUGAGUUCUCAUGUGACAUGAGUAUGAGAACUCCUCGUUGAUCGUGUUCAAUGGACUCAUUCGCUAUUGAGCACCUACAUGCUUGUCUUGGUGUCAAUCACACCAAUGACUCGAGAUCAGUCACUCUUUAUGAGAGAAGACACAUCACGUACUGAUCUUAACGGACUGUCAAUGCCCAAUUGGCAAUCCUAUGAUCAGGAACGUUUAGGAUAUCUAUACGAAAGAGAAUGGUCUCAUAAAUCUAACUUGUUUAAAUUACAUUCUCCUAAUUACAUAUUCCUUGGACUUAUCGUUUAAGCAUAUAACAUUUAUAUGAGAUGGCUUAAAACAAUAAUCUUUGCCCUUGAUAUUAAACUAGAUUAGUUUAACAUGUGAAAUGUCCGUAAAGUAUCAUCAUAUGAUUGGUUUUAGGGCACAUUUCCAACAAUCUCCCACUUGCAUUAGAGCCAAUCAGCUUGGUCAUCAUUGAUGAUACCUCUUCUUUAGUCAUUUCAAAAAUGGCUAAAUAGUAGGCCUAGACAAUGGAUAUCUAUAUGUUAUCCAUAGAAGCAACCUUGAGAAUAACGAUGUCACCAUUAUACAUGAUUCUCAAUCAUGUGGUUCAGUCUCUCAUUUGAGUUCGGAUCGUGAUGAGACCUUGAUUCCCUGGCUUGAGCUAUCGCCCCAUUAGUGUUGUAGUGUCGGUACACUAGAGACACUUUCUGGUUAGAACCGAAUAGAGAGUUCAUGAAUGAACUUUCUCAUCGAAACAACAUUGUUGUAAGCUUCUAUAUGGCAAUAUAUUUUGCAUUCACAAUGGAACACACUAAAGUCAUUGCUUUUAAUGUUUCCAUCCAAAUAUCUCUUUUAGUCAUAAUAAAGAGAUAUCUGAUUAUCUCUUCAUUCAUAAUGAAGAAACAUCCAAUGAUGGAUUAGAUUCAUAAUCUAAUACAUUUACGCUUCCAUUACGUUAUUCUAAUUCUUCCUCAUUCUUUGAGGAAUUUAUCCUUUAGUAUUUCUUAAAUACUUAAUGACUCACUUGACAUUUGCCAUGGUUCUGAUCCUGGGCUUGCACUGAUAUCGUCUUGUACCGUUCUAGGUACAACUCAUAUGAAUGUUUACAUACAAUAUGAAAUACGUAAAUCACUUUUCUGCGUAUGCAUAAAGGAUUCUAUUUACGCAUUAUUUCUUUGGGAGUCAAAGGGUAUGUUCCCUUUGAGAAGACCUACCUCCUAGUCUUACUAGAGUUGUUCUUCUGACUGAAGUUUAUCAUCAUAUGAGAAACUUCCUAGCAUCUUUUGUCUAUCAUUAGGGCUUGAUAUAAUCAAAUUAUAUCCUGAAAUCUAUCAUUAUAGAUUUACAUCCCAUGUUUAUACACUAUGUCUCCCAUAUACAUUCUAUCGUUAUAGAAUGUUUAAAGUCAUAACUUUAACGAAGAAGUAUUCUUUUUCAUUUCCAAAAUUAAUAUAUCAUAUAUUUGUAUAUAUAUAUAUAUAUAUAUAUAUAUAUUCAAUUUUAGGAACAUGAUUACCUCCCACCAAUCUUUUGUAAACCUAGUAAACAAAAGAUUCAUUUACAUCUUUAUGAGAAAUCAAACGAUUUGAUCUUUCUCUCAUACGACGUUUAUAGCUCCCACUAGCUUGCUAAGAUCCAUGAUGGAUGGAUCUCUACAACUUACAUGUCUUGUGAUUCAUAGUUUUAGACAUACAUUAUCAAGACUAUCUUAAUAAUGGUUUCGGAAACCCAUAUUAUGUGUUGGAAAUGUGCCCUAAAACGAAUCAUAUGAUGAUACUUUACGAACAUUUCACAUGUUAAACUAAUCUAGUUUAAUAUCAAGGGCAAAGAUUAUUGUUUGAGCCGUCUCAUAUAAAUAUUAUACGCUUAAAUGAUAAGUCCAAGGAAUAUGUGAUUGGGAGAAUGCGAUCUAAAGAAGUUAGAUUCAUGAGACCAUUCUUUCGUAAACACAUCCUAAACGUUCCUGAUCAUAGGAUUGCCAAUUGGGCAUUGACAGUCCGUUAAGAUCAGUACGUGCUGUGUCUUUUCUCAGGGAGAGUGACUAGUCUCAAGUCAUUGGUGUGUGUGACAUCAAGACAAGCAUGUAGGUGCUUAAUAAUGAAUGAGUCCACUGAACACGAUCAACGAGGAGUUCUCAUACUCAUGUCACAUGAGAACUUAUGGUUGGGAUAAUUCAAAGUAGUCCUUUGACCUGAGGCAUCAUAGUUGUCUUGUGGUUAGGUACUUGAUCUUUGAUUAUGUCAAAGUCACCCCAUCCGCGGGUGUCCACGGCAUCGUCGGGGUUAAGCCACUUAGCCAUGGAGGCAAGUGAAGGCGCAACAAGGGAUCUCUAACCUUCAAACCGUUUGGGGGAGAAUACUCUAUGAUAUGACUAAGAAUCUCUGGCCAGAGUAUGAAUGAGAUUUAGGAAGUCGUUCCAAAUCACAUUCAAGGUAAUCAUAUAAGCACACGAAUCACAUUGGAUAGUAGACAUGAAUAAACUAUCAAACCAAACAAUGUGGUCAAGAGUAUUGUAUUAGAGAAAGACCGUAUUGCAUUUGUAAUCCUAAACUGAAUAGGUUCUCCACCUCUUCAGAUUAGCUUGGGUAACCAUGAUAUGCUGCUAGGUGUCACUCAUGGUUUGUGGAAGCCCUAAACAUGUAUAAUCACUAAAGGGAGAAUUGAAAGUAAGUUUCAAUUCACAAUCGAUUUGAAAUGGUUUUAAUCGCCCACUACCUCGCUAAAAGGAACCUAAUGGAUCGUACACCGUGUAAGGUGGAGAUUGAAGAAACAAUGGAGAUGAGUAAGAAUAAUUAAAUGGUUUAAUUAUUUAUGGCAAGGAUUAAUUAAUAUGUUAAUUAAUCAAACGAAUAAGUUCGUUAAAGACCUCGGGAUAGUUUUGGACCUUAAGGCCCAAUGGGCUUCGAACGUCAAGCCCAUUGACUUAAGUUGUAUGACAAUUUAAUGAAUAAUGAUUCACAAAGGCCCAAUUAGCCCAAAAAUACCCUAAGGCCGGCCAUUUAGAGAUGGAGUGAGUUUUGGACUUAUUUACAAGUUUGCCACUCCAAUGAAUUAAGGUAUAAAUAUGACUUUAUAGCCAAAAUUCAUUUAGGGUUUUCUUUUGGGGAAAGGAUGAGAACAUAAGCUCUCAUUUCUCUCUAAAGUGGCCGGCCUCCUUGGAGGGUGUAGCUAGCACUCCUACUACUCCAAGGUCACUCAUUUCUUCUCCAAUCUAACCUUGGUGAAGAGACUUAGAGGUUCUCAAUUUUGGGAACUUGGAGAACCUUUUCAUCCAUCCAAAUCCAUAGAUCUAAGAUGCAAGGAAUGAAGGCCCUCUCUUUGGGUGAUUAGCCUUUGCUGAUGCAAAGAGGAAUCAACAAAGGUAUAAUUUCUCAACUAACAAAUGUUGUUUUAAGUUAAGUCAAGGUUCACCAAUCUACUAGGCUUUGAAUUUCAUGGUUAAUGUUUUGUUUUUAAGUGCAUACAAGCAUGAUUCCGCCUUUUAAUUGUUAAUUGCAUGCUAUAGAUGUUGCUUAAAUGAACAUGUUUUUCACAAAAUCAUCCUUCAUUAUGUCCAAACAUUGAAUCACCAUUUAGUUGUAGCUAGCAAUCUUCGAAUUAAUUGAAACCAAGACUACGUCAAAGAUGGUUUCUUCCAAGUCAACCAAUCUCUUUAAUUGUAGUCACCUUAAGCUACCAAUUAGCUAUAAAGGUUUCAUUAUUUUAGGUCAAAUGGUACUUUACCAUUUCCUUGAGUAUAUGUCGUAUAUACACUUAAUGUAGUCAUAAGGAUUUUCAUUCUUAUUUCUUUCGAUUUAAGAGGUGUAACUCUAUGACAUAGUCAUAAAGUUCAAACCAUUCAACCGAGACAGUAUAUAAAUCCUUCUCGACUACCUUGGAGCUUGUGUGGUAGGAAAUAGGUUGUUAUAUUUGUUGAUUAUCAUCUUGUCUCUCAAAGAACCCAUUCUUUGAGUUCUAUCUCUCGUUCAUUUGCGUUAGGCAAAUCAUAUUGUAGCAUUACAAUGAACUACCCAACAAACAACAUUUGUUAGUUGGUUU
Molecule: long non-coding RNA, 15068 nt
Filed under: Malus domestica (apple)
Lineage: Eukaryota; Viridiplantae; Streptophyta; Magnoliopsida; Rosales; Rosaceae
Description: long non-coding RNA (MDOM_LNC008398)
Source: RNAcentral